This 1386-nucleotide long non-coding RNA is filed under the name Drosophila guanche. Lineage: Eukaryota; Metazoa; Arthropoda; Insecta; Diptera; Drosophilidae. The record is from RNAcentral.
AUUUCGGGUCAGGAUUCCGCUUCCGACAGCAUCUGGGGCCCGAAAUAAAACCAAUUCCUCCUCACAACUCCACAAUCCAAUUUUCGAAUCGAAAUUUGCAUUCUGCUGGACUGGUCACACAUAUUUUGCUGCUAAUGCUAAUGUGUUUGUCACUCGAAGGCAGACGGCGCCUUCCUUCGCUCCCACUUAACCUCCAGCCUGUUAAUGCUAGUCCUGAAAACAUUGUGGCCAAAAUCAUUGAAUAUUUUCAUAUCGAGUAUUUCUAUUCGCCUUGGCAGCCAUGACAAAAUCAGCUUAGUUGCAUCCAAGUACGAGUACGAGUACGGGUGUGGGUAUGUUCAUGGGGUAAAGAGGUUUCGCCGGGGUGUAAAUCUCAGUUGCACGUUCUCGAGAUAUGCAUCUGGUUUGACAAUGUUGUCGGAUUUGUCUUGGCUGCAGCCUCCACCGCUCUUUGUAUUAGUCAGAUUGGAAGCUGACAUAAGCUUGUUAUCAGAUCGCCAGCAGGAACAAGUCUUGUCUUCCAUUUGCUUGAAGCAGGUGAGUAAUUUAAUUUAUUCCAAAAUAUGUUUCCCAUUUCCCAUUUGCCUGAGUUUACAAUAGUUUUAUUCUGGGAUAAAUCACACGUGAGAUUACUUUAAUGCUUGCUUUGCCAUUCUGCACAGGAACCACUGAUACGUUCAAUCCUCAUACAUAAAAUAUGCCUUUAGAUAUUUAUUCAAGCUAUAUCUGAUAACAGUAGGAGUAUCUGCAGCAGCAACUCUGUGACUAAUGGCUGAUCACAAUAAUCAACAUCUUUGGAAUAGCAGAAGGGCAUCAAGCCAGAGUAGCAGCUGUGUACAUAAAAAUGACAUCAAACAUGAACUGAAGCAACAUCAACACCACGAGUUACAGCAAAAACCACAGCUGCAACAACUCCAUAAGAAGCUCCUCCCACAGACCCAUUUUUCAGGCCAACAAAUGCAUUUACAUUAUUUUUACUUAUUUUACAUAAAUCAGCUGCAAAUUACAUAAAUCGGUGAGCUCGCCUAACGCUGUAUACAAAAUAUUACAAUAUCUUCGUAUUAUAAAGGAAACUAGAAGCACGUAUUGCAAAAUAUUCAGAGAAGUAAAUGGAAUGCAGAAACCACUCGGAUACUCUUACCAGAAUAUCAACUGUAAUUCUCAUUAUUUAAGAGUCUACCAACAGUGACAGAACAGAGAUGUUCGAAUAUAUAUACCAAUCUAUACAUAAAAAUGUACAUGAAAUAUGCAUAUAUAUAUAUAUAUAUAUAGAGGCGAGUGUUUUCCUGCUUCUGCUGAUCUUCUUUUUAGCCAGUUUUGCAUUCGCUUGUUGUACAUACAAUUUUGUUGUACUGCUGCUGCUGCUGCUGCUGCUGUGGCUAAGGC